UGAGCAAUCUGCCCUUCUCAUCGGAAUAAGCGUUGGAAACGACGUCUAAUGCCGAAUACGACCUCCUUUCGCAUGAUCGGAGGUGGAAAGCUCCGGCGGAGAAGGAUGAGCUCGCGGCCUAUCAGCUAGCUGGUGUGGGUAAUGGCCCACCAAGGCGACGACGGGUAGCCGGCCUGAGAGGGUGACCGGCCACACUGGGACUGAGACACGGCCCAGACCUCCGUAGGGAGG
This 231-nucleotide ribosomal RNA is filed under the name uncultured bacterium. RNAcentral's name for it is "partial 16S ribosomal RNA". It matches the Rfam family "Bacterial small subunit ribosomal RNA", at positions 118 to 347 of the family's 1533-position model. The record is from RNAcentral.